CCUGCAUUUGCCUAACUCUUGGCAAAAUGUUUCGAAUGCCAUUUUUGAAAUUCCUGGUGAAAGAGUGCCUGCUGCCCUGGAGAUGUCUCUUCUGGAUAUUCUUAGGAACAGAACAAUAAACAAGGACACUUGGAAGAAAAGGGGCAGCUUUCCCCGAUUGCCAAGUGAAAUACAACUUUGUUAUUGAACUCUUCUGCUCUGCUUUUGGAAAAGCUGGGAUUACAUGUUCUUUUCUCCAGUGUAUUAAAAAAAAAGUAAGAUAUUGGCUUCAAAUUAAUCUGCAGAACUUUGAACUAAAAUGAGGGUUCUUUCUCAAAUACCACACUAGAAAACAACACAGCAGACUGCCAGGAGCCCCAGCAGGGGAAACCAGAAGGAACAUGAUGACGGUGUGGAGGAGCUUUACAUGGGGAUGCUUUCCCAUUUCUCGAGUCUGGGUACCCCAACUGGCCCCCAUCUGGCUGGCCAGAGAUGGAUCAUUUUCCAUGAUGCCUUGUGGGACCAUACGUGGCGCCUCACUUUCAAUGUACUGCUUGGAGUGCCCGAAGAAGAUUCAGAUGCGAGUGCCCUCACUUGAUCUCAUCCAUAUGCUGACCUCUGAGCUAUAGGUCAUGGCUAAGGACUAAGCUAAAGGCCCAACUUGGUGUAGUUUUGAACCAAGCCGUCUGCCUGAAGGGGGUUUUGAGGAGAGAAUGAGGGAGAAAAAAGACUCUGUCAAGUUGCAUGCUUGUGAGUUAUAAUGCACUUUCUUACUGUUCCCACCCAGGAUGAGAUCUGGUGGUGCAAGGCUUGUUCUGGGGCCAUUUGAUUGAGGAGUAUCCUAUGGAACAGCCUACAGGUGGUACUUACUUGCCCUAAAGAAAAACCCUGGAAAAUCACCAUCCACCCAUCUCACUUCCCCACUCUACAAAAGUAACACAUCCAUCAGCGAGCCUCUGUCUUUUGUUGGUUGAGGCAGUGGGCUGUGGGACUCUGGAUGGCUGGUGCCAGCUUUCAAGGGCUACUUGCAGCCCGGCUGUUGGACAUCUCCCUCUGGCCUUUUUCAGCUCUUUGUGAAUCCCCUGCCAGCCUUUUCUUUCUCCCCAGUGAUGCCUGUGCUCGUCAGCUCCCUCCAAUGGAGUGAAUAUAUGAGAAGACAGGAGUCAGCAGGGGUUCAGAAGGCUGGGAGAAUGGAGGGGUGAGCCAACCAGCCACAUAGAGAAGGAAGCUUUGGAUCACAUGCCUUCAUUUCUUCCCUUCCAGCCUCCCUCCUCCCCGCCAGUGGCAGGGUGGCAACAUUCUUAAUGAUAAUUUUAAAAAAGUGCCAAGCCUCUGCUCAUUUGCAAAUCAUCAUGUCUAAUUUGCAUAACAGAUCCGGGAGGCCCUAACUCUGCAUAUGGAAAAUGGAAUACAGUAUAAAUAAGAUAAAUGGAUUAGGUCAGCUGACUGCAUCUGUAGCCACGGACGACCCACGGGCCCAGCGCACACGAACUACAGAGGAGGGCAUCCAGUACAGGUACUUAUGGUUAAUUUUUUAUGCGAUGAAUAGGCAACAUAGCAGGACUGAUCAGGCUGCAACCAUCCAGACGGCAAAAGAAUAAAAAGACAAAUGCUAAAGAAAUGUAAGACGGUGACCCUCCACAUAACUCACUUCUGGGAGUCAUUUGUUGCCUCUUUAUUUGUAUGUUUCCCC
RNAcentral lists this long non-coding RNA (1672 nucleotides) under Homo sapiens (human). RNAcentral describes it as "HSALNT0281608". The record is from RNAcentral. Lineage: Eukaryota; Metazoa; Chordata; Mammalia; Primates; Hominidae.